GACGAACGCUGGCGGCGUGCUUAACGCAUGCAAGUCGAACGGAAAGGCCCUGCUUUUGUGGGGUGCUCGAGUGGCGAACGGGUGAGUAACACGUGAGUAACCUGCCCUUGACUUUGGGAUAACUUCAGGAAACUGGGGCUAAUACCGGAUAGGAGCUCCUGCUGCAUGGUGGGGGUUGGAAAGUUUCGGCGGUUGGGGAUGGACUCGCGGCUUAUCAGCUUGUUGGUGGGGUAGUGGCUUACCAAGGCUUUGACGGGUAGCCGGCCUGAGAGGGUGACCGGCCACAUGGGGACUGAGAUACGGACCAGACUGCAACGGGAGGCAGCGGUGGGGAAUAUUGCACAAUGGGCGGAAGCCUGAUGCAGCAGCGCCGCGUGCGGGAUGACGGCCUUCGGGUUGUGAACCGCUUUCGCCUGUGACGAAGCGUGAGUGACGGUAAUGGGUAAAGAAGCACCGGCUAACUACGUG
This 468-nucleotide ribosomal RNA is filed under the name uncultured bacterium. RNAcentral describes it as "partial 16S ribosomal RNA". It matches the Rfam family "Bacterial small subunit ribosomal RNA", at positions 28 to 507 of the family's 1533-position model. The record is from RNAcentral.